This 230-nucleotide unclassified non-coding RNA is filed under the name Glomeraceae sp. RNAcentral's name for it is "partial contains 5.8S ribosomal RNA and internal transcribed spacer 2". The stretch from base 1 to 72 matches the Rfam family "5.8S ribosomal RNA", at positions 84 to 154 of the family's 154-position model. Lineage: Eukaryota; Fungi; Glomeromycota; Glomeromycetes; Glomerales; Glomeraceae. The record is from RNAcentral.
GUGAAUCAUCAAAUCUUUGAACGCAAAUUGCACUCUCCGGUUUUCCGGGAGAGUAUGCCUGUUUGAGGGUCAGCCUAAAAAAAAUCGACAUUGUUGCUGUUAUUUAAUGGUGACUUUCGUCGGAGAUUGGGUUAUCUUAAACCUUUUUUUUUUUUUUUUGUUUAAGCGACUUAAAAUUUUUCUUCCCAAUUCCAUGAACUUUUCUAGGUUUUUUUUUUUUUUUACUUUAA